RNAcentral lists this ribosomal RNA (254 nucleotides) under uncultured bacterium. RNAcentral's name for it is "partial 16S ribosomal RNA". It matches the Rfam family "Bacterial small subunit ribosomal RNA", at positions 524 to 776 of the family's 1533-position model. The record is from RNAcentral.
UACGGGGGGUGCAAGCGUUGUUCGGAUUUACUGGGCGUAAAGGGCGCGUAGGCGGCCAGCACAAGCCAGUUGUGAAAUCUCCGAGCUUAACUCGGAACGGUCAACUGAUACUGUGCGGCUAGAGUGCGGAAGGGGCAACUGGAAUUCUUGGUGUAGCGGUGAAAUGCGUAGAUAUCGGGAGGAACACCUGUGGCGAAGGCGGCCCCCUGGUUGGAUACUGACGCUGAUACGCGAAAGCGUGGGGAGCAAACAGG